Molecule: long non-coding RNA, 1289 nt
Filed under: Setaria italica (foxtail millet)
Lineage: Eukaryota; Viridiplantae; Streptophyta; Magnoliopsida; Poales; Poaceae
Description: long non-coding RNA (SITA_LNC001322)
Source: RNAcentral
GAAAAUACUCAUGCCCACAAUCAGGCUAAAAAGAAGCAUGGCAGCACACCAUUCCUACGGAGUGUAACUACAAUUGUAAUAACCUAGGCUACAAAUGCACUGCCCAGUUAGCGAGGCACUGCGAUAUGUACGGUGGGGCAUUUUUGGCCUCAUCUCUGUGACUUGUGUUUGAUUGAAUAAAUCCUACAAGUAUCAAAAGAAAAAAAAAGUUGUAGCCAAGAGAUUGAAGCUCAGUUCCACCUCCAUAAAAAUGACAUCUCCAACCAUAUGGUAGCAUAGUUAGGCUGCCAUUUAUAAGAACACUAGUUAACUGGUUAUAUUUGUAAGCCUGCAAAAAUCAAUGGCAACAUUAGCACCUCUUAAACUGAUCAAGAUUAUUAGAAUAUCAGGAACAUGUUAGCAGACAGCUUUGAACUGAUAUUAGGUUUCUAUUGUCUUCGUAUGGAACUGUAAAACAACUGAUGUUAGUACUAUAUAAUGCUUGUCGAACAGUUGACUGAACCAAGCUUUCUAUGAUCGAAAGGAUAACCAAUAGACAGAGCAACAGGCCACAUUUCAACUUGCUUAAUAUUUCAUCAUAUUCUGAAUCAUAAAAAUCAAUCAUGAAAUCAAAAAUACAGAUCUAAGCUUUAGGUUUAAAAUUUGAAAUCCGUGAUGCUGAAGUAAACAAAAAAGCAAGCGGCGAUUGCAUUCAGUGAUUCAGAGGAGCAAGCAAAACGUCGCAUACUUUACAAGAUGGACAUGAAGUAGUAGAGCUGAAUGCCACGCACCCUUCGCCGGGGCUGGGCCAGAUCCAGGCGUCGAGCAAUCCGCCGCCACGCACCCUUCACCCUGCUCUCCAUAUAUUGCCGCGCCCGUCGGUGGAGGAAGCAACGGAGCCGGAAGCGGCCGCCGCCACCGCCGAGCCCUUCCGCUUCCCAUUUGUCGUUGCGCCGGUCUGCUCGCCCGACACCACCGCCGGGCCCGUCGGUUCCAGCGAUGCUGCCGCAUCUGCCAAGCCUUGAAUAACUUUCGCGUCCUGCAUCUAACAGAGGAGGAGAAGAGAUGGUGGCGGAUGAGGGAAGAUGGUGACAAGGUUGGAGAUUUCGCGCGCUCUCAGUACCAAUUUUGCCGCCACCACAACUGAUUUCGCGCGCACCACAAUCGAUCCGGAGGAGGAGGCGUCGGCGACGACGAGGACGUACAACGGCAUUGGCGCUAGCAGUUUGGCCUGGGAGCACGAGCCAGUGCCGUCGUCUAGCGAGACGACGGCGAGCUUCUUUCUCAUCAUUAAACACGGCACACGUCGG